UACAGAGGGUGCAAGCGUUAAUCGGAAUUACUGGGCGUAAAGCGCGCGUAGGCGGGUUGGUAAGUCCGCUGUGAAAGCCCGGAGCUCAACUCCGGAGGGUCGGUGGAUACUGCCAGUCUUGAAGGUGCUAGGGGGAGAUGGAAUUACCGGUGUAGCGGUGAAAUGCGUAGAUAUCGGUAGGAACACCAGUGGCGAAGGCGGUCUCCUGGGGCAUUCUUGACGCUGAGGCGCGAAAGCUGGGGGAGCGAACGGG
RNAcentral lists this ribosomal RNA (253 nucleotides) under uncultured bacterium. RNAcentral describes it as "partial 16S ribosomal RNA". It matches the Rfam family "Bacterial small subunit ribosomal RNA", at positions 524 to 776 of the family's 1533-position model. The record is from RNAcentral.